AACCGAAAACCACAAAAACCCCCAAAAAGGGUUAAAGUACAAAAGAAAAUACGGAAGAUGGAAAAACGAGGUAUAACCCGAAAAAUACCCCAAAAAAGGGGGAACCGAGAAAGUUUUCCAAAAAGGGCAAAAGGGCCAAAAAGGGGAGAAAACAAAAAGGGGACUCUGAAAUCUGGAGAAAGCCUGAUGGAUCACCGCGCCUGGCGAUCACAUUCCAGGCCUUCGGCUGCGUCAGCAGAAGAGGGGAGCUCAAAAGGAGAAGUGGUGGCGGCCGCGAGCCCAGGCCCGAGCAGCCAACGCCCUGGUUCCUCUGGUGGACAGGAAAUCUUGUUCCUCUUUUGCCGUUGUCACAGGGAGAGAUCAGAAAUGGAGAAAAGUCUCUUGUUCGUCGAAUCAGGUUCUACUUGGAGAGCUGGAAAUGUUCUUUCAGUCCAAGCAGAUUCGAGGAUGACAGCCCGCCACUCCAAAUUCCCUUCCGCCCACUGAGAGUGGGUCAAGAUCAAGGUCAUCAAGAACAAGUGGACGGAGCACAGGUGGACCGGUCACUUAAAGGUCGUGAAACGGACGUCUCACGCCCUUCGACUGGCUGAUCUCCAGCAGAUGCCACUGCCGACAUCGCCACAUCACCUGCCCCACUCGACCCCCGGCAGAACUUCCACACAGUCUCACGGUCCAGAAGACGACGCCGAGAGAGAUCUCCCUCCGUUGAGCUGCCGUCUACCGUCGUGUAGAUCUACCAGACAUGCUCAACUGCUGUAUCAUAUAUCCAAAGCUAUCAUAUAUCCUUACUUGAGACCCACCUAUGUACUCGAUGUUAUACAACUUCUCUUAAUUGUUUUCAGCAUCACUAUUGUUGUCGUUACAAUAAGUGAAACCCUAACCUAAAUUACCCUGAUAGUGAUAGACGAAAGGCAGGAUGUUACAUCCAGCAGUAUUCCCUGACAGACUGGUACUUGGGCUUGUUCUAAUGUCCUUGUGCCUCAGUCCUUCCUUCCCGACAACAGUGACUGACACGUGUCUUAGAACUUAUGGCGGACUUGAAAUAAGACUGGAUCAUGGGGGACAACAAGACUUCCUUUUUUGACCUGUGCAGUGUGAUUGAUUACCAUGGUAGUAACCUCUUUCUUUGUUACGACGCAACCCUGAGCUAUUGGUGUCGGUAGCAGAAUACAUAAUCUAGGAGGGGGGUGUCAAACUCCUUUUAGCUCAGAGGCCGCAUGGAGGAAAAUCCAUUCCCAAGUGGGCUGGAAUGGUAAAAUCAUGGCAUGAUAACUUCAAAAUAAAGACAACUACAGGUUGUUUACUUUGACCAAAAAUAGAACAAGCACGUUGUGAAAAGGGACAAAUCACAAAUAAUCCUCUGGAAAAAAACACUUAAAGUUUGUUGAAAAUUCUGAGGAAAUUGGUGCAGUUUCAAAAACACAAUCAGUUUGGACGUGGUCUCAGUUUAUCUACAAAGCCAGGAUUAAACUUUAAAUCGCAGUCUUUCUGGGAUUGAACAAAAAACACAACAUGUAAACUUUUUGAGGUAUCAAACACCUCCUUUGUCAUGUCCACGUAUCAAUCCAGAGUUAACUCAACAAACCGUAAGAAUCAGAGGUAAAACUAUUCAAAAGGGUUAAGUUUUCUCACUAUAUUUUCAUACCUUAGUUGGCGCCUGUCGCUGCGGUAAUCCUAGAACCCAUUGGUAGAACACCUUAUCUCACCGGUUUUGUCCAUGUGGCGCCUCUAAUGGCUCUGAUAUUCCAAAGCAUUUUGGGUGAAUAGAAAAGAGUUUUAUCCAUCUAUUAUUAUUAUUAAUGUUAUUAAAAUGGAAAAAGGACGACAACGAGGCAUCUUGCAAUGGUAAAAGUUGAUUUUCAAGAAAAAAAAUUAUUUUCAAGGUAAAUGUUGAUUAUCCGAGUACACGAGAUACUACCGUCUAUUCUUAAAACCCACACAAAGACAUUAUUGGGGAGUAAGGGUGCCAAAUAACAUUGUGUUUGAAGCGGAAGACACAAACCUCUUGCUGGUCCUAACAGAAUUGCUAUUGUGACAUCCAGUGGACACAUUCAGAACAGCAGUUUCUUUCAUAAAAAAAAUAUGCAACUCAUUUUAAUACUUGGCAAACUCCUCAGGCGGGCCAGAUAAAACCUGUUGGCGGGCCUGAUCCGGCCCAUGGGCCGUAUGUUUGACACCCCUGGUCUAUGGGGUGGUGCCCCUCGUGGAAGCAGGUAAUCCCACUAGCCCCUAUUGUUACAUCAAAACUAUUCGGGAAGGGAUGACCUUCCAGAGGAAUUUUGAUAGUUCCCAGAACCCCCUCGCCCUUACAAUUGCCAAUGUGGGUGUCAUGCCCAAUUGGCCCAGCCCCUUUUAUUUUGUUUUGGGGUUUGACCAGACUGGAACAGACUCUGCUGAAUUUCCCCCAGGGAUCAAAAAAGUACUUUCUAUUCUAUUUUAAAGGGAUUAUUAAAAUUAAUGUCCUUGAGAGGGCGUUAACUACCUUUGCCCACUCUGUAGCACUAAAGUGCCACUCCACCUUGGUGACGUUUCAAAGGCUCUCACACAUCUGUGUAUACUAAUGACAUCACCACUGAAGACCUGGUAGCUUUGACCCUCGGAGCGGGUGCAGGCAACCUGUGGCUCAGGUGUAUGACUAGCAUGGCCAAGAGCCAAAACAUGGGUGAUUGUGUUGCUUGUUCCGCUGGAAGUCAUUUCCCCACACUUACCCCGCCCCUUUUAAGCUGACUGACACAGAUGCCCUAAACUGCCUUAUCUCUUUGUUUUCUGAAACCACACCGCCAGGGUGCGAUUUGUUGGCUAGUGUGUACCCUCCUGUUGACAAUUCCAUCCGACGUCUUCCCCUUUGUGGGGAAAGCUGAAUUACACAUGUUUUCAAUUCACAGGACCCUCUUUGUCCCUCAACAAAUUGGGUGACAUUGACCCUUCCUGGUGCACCACACAUAUAGAUGGCUCCAAAAUAGGCCCUUGGGCACGGGCUGACUUAUUCUGGUAUUGUGGGGAGCACAGAUUGUACAUUAGAAUCCCGACGUCAGCCGUUGGGCUUUGUGCUAUGGUUAGACUGGUGACCCCACUCACCCUAGUGGGUACCAAAUUAACACCCCUUUGAACUCCUGUUUCAGCGGCCUCUUUGACUUUCCGCCGACGCUGCCAUAUUCUAUCUAGGAGUGCAAUGGGCUCCUUUGAUUUGAUGAGAAACCCUGAUGGAGUUUACUUUGAUGCAAUAGGGCAACCAUGGUGGUCCCCCCACAACAUAAAUUGUGGCGUGAAUCCUGCGCAGGUUUCGAGAACCUUCCUAUUAUUGGCGCUAUUAACGCAUUAACUAGGUUUUUUAUAAUCUGUUGAGACUGACCAACCUGACUCGUGAAGCUGUUGAGGGACUUGCUGAACAACUUGCCCUGACCUCCCUCAUGGCCAUCAAGAGCCGCAUAGCCCUUGACCGCAUCCUAGCCAAGGAAGAAGGUGUGUUUGCAAUGUUUGGUGACCAAUGCUGUACCUUCAUUCCUAACAACACCGCCCCUGAUGGCUCGGUCCAGAGGGCCUCAAAGCCCUGGUUUAGGAACUUACUGAAGUUUCCGAUGUCUGAACACUUCAAAGAUUGGCUCCAAGGCACCUUUGGCAGGUGGACUGACCUAAUUAAGUCUGUCCUGAUCUCCAUUGGAGUUUUCUUGGCCAUCAUAGCCUCAUGCGGUUUCUUUAUCGCCCCUUGUGCUGAGUCUCUAUGCACCCGCAUCAUUGUUAGAGCCAUAGGUCAACCCCACCCCGUUUCUGGGUUUACUAUGUCUCUGAAGGGGCUCAAGCAAAGUGGCGACUUUCGCGAAUUGCAAGUUUCCCUCGCUGACAAUGACGACUUUGACGUGGACACUCUCCCUCUAUCUCCCAUGUAACUAUGCUUUUAUUUUAGUGCGAGCUUGCUAAAACUUUAAUGUGGGGCAGGUGCUUUAGAAGUUUUGUAAUUGUGUUAGAGAUCUUUUGUAGAAGGUCUGAAGGGGGAUUGACGGAGAUAGAUAGCUACAUAUAUCCAUAUUCAAGAGUUAUUUCUUUUCUUCCAGUCAUAUUUGAAAACAGCUAAGAGGUGUGCAUGUGUUAACCUUGAGCUUGGAAUGUAACGAGUAGCCAUAACACCCUUGUUAUCUUUUCUUGUCCCAGGCUUAGAAGGAGAAUAGAUAUGUGGAUUCGCUCUGAAGGGGAAGGGGAGGGGGGCUAGCGGCGUAGUGAAAAAGGCAAGACUUCCGUAGUAUUUUCAGAUCAACUUGGGCGAUGCGAUUUGAAUGUGUUGUUCAUAGAUUAAUCUCUCCAAAGCUUUGAAAUAAAAUAUCAAAAUACC
Molecule: long non-coding RNA, 4327 nt
Organism: Nerophis ophidion (straightnose pipefish)
Lineage: Eukaryota; Metazoa; Chordata; Actinopteri; Syngnathiformes; Syngnathidae
Exons: 2
Source: RefSeq, a predicted model, not a curated record